This 382-nucleotide unclassified non-coding RNA is filed under the name uncultured Alphaproteobacteria bacterium. RNAcentral describes it as "contains 16S-23S intergenic spacer region". The record is from RNAcentral. Lineage: Bacteria; Pseudomonadati; Pseudomonadota; Alphaproteobacteria.
UCCGGCUUGUCACCGGCGGUCUCGUCAGAGUGCCCAGCAUAACCUGAUGGCAACAGACGACAAGGGUUGCGCUCGUUGCGGGACUUAACCCAACAUCUCACGACACGAGCUGACGACAGCCAUGCAGCACCUGUCACCGAUCCAGCCGAACUGAAGAGGUCCAUCUCUGGUCCUCGCGAUCGGGAUGUCAAGGGUAGGUAAGGUUCUUCGCGUUGCUUCGAAUUAAACAACAUGCUCCACCGCUUGUGCGGGUCCCCGUCAAUUCCUUUGAGUUUUAACCUUGCGGCCGUACUCCCCAGGCGGUGUGCUUAAUGAUUUCUCUCCGCCGCCGAAAGUCUAAGACUCCCGACAGCUAGCACACAUAGUUUACGGCGUGGACUAC